This is a long non-coding RNA of Lacerta agilis (Sand lizard), 331 nucleotides long. RefSeq lists it as uncharacterized. The record is from RefSeq and is a predicted model, not a curated record. NCBI's taxonomy places the organism in Eukaryota, Metazoa, Chordata, Lepidosauria, Squamata, Lacertidae. The transcript has 3 exons.
GCUCUUUAUCUUUAAACUGAAACUGGAUUGGCGAGGAGUCCUUCAAAGAGCAGACUGCCCUCUGUAAGGUAAGAACUGCAAAAGGACGUUGUCGGCAGGUGACGACAGGCAUAAAUGAAGAUGAAUAGAGACUGGCUGACUGCAACAGUGACUGACAGCUUGAGUCAGCAGUGCAGCUGGCUUUUAAGAACAGAGGUAUGGAAGACAAGGCAGCUAACCCAUGAUGGCUACGUUUGGCCACAAUUGUUGGAGGCAGGAUGGUCUGAAAAUGAGCUCCUGGGAAUCACAAGGAGGGACAGUAGCCAGGGAGUGCUCCUGGGUCCACUUUCAU